Molecule: long non-coding RNA, 761 nt
Organism: Lutra lutra (Eurasian river otter)
Lineage: Eukaryota; Metazoa; Chordata; Mammalia; Carnivora; Mustelidae
Exons: 4
Source: RefSeq, a predicted model, not a curated record
ACUGUGUUACACAGGGCAGUAGUAGGCAGGUUAACAUUAGACACCUCUGUGAGAGGCUGAAGGUCAGCGCCAGACUCAGUAACCACAGAAAGUCUCGGCUCUCAGAAGCCUGCCUGGAUCUGAUUAGCGAGGGCUCCAGAAGUGCAGCCCCCAACAACGGGUGUGGCGCUAUGGCACAAGCUGCCAGCGCCAGCUUCUCACCAGACUUGAAACCAGAACUUAUUUGAAGUUUCCAAGUCUAUGUCAAAAAAAGGAUUCUGAACGCCUCAGAAUUUUGACUCUUUACAGUCAUUUUGGAGCUUAACCUUCACCCAGAUCCCUCUAUGACAUUCUUCACAACAGCAUUUUUAAGAAGAGAAAUCAAAAUAGGGCAAGAAAAUUUGGAAUAUGUUUCAGAAAGGGGAGCAAAGCAAAAAAGUGAAGGAGCUAUAGAUUUCUCUCUUUCUUCAUGACUCCAAAAUUCCAGAAUGUUAUCACCAGAGCACUGGACAUUUCCCACCUUCUGUGUCUGUAGAUUAUGGUCUCAGGCCACUGACUGUUAAAUGUAGCCAAGUCUUUUUGUUCAGAAAGAUGGUCCUCUGAAGCGAUGAGGAUCAACAUCUAGAAGGCACACAUGAAGUUGACUGAGGCCAGGAGAUGUGAAGCAUUUCAAUCAAAGCUAUCAUUCCACAAGAGUAAAAAUUUAUUCCAUUUAUUAGCAAUGAACAUGUGGCUUAUCACUUGACUCAUUAGCACACUUCUGUGAAUACAGCAAGCUUGUA